GACGAGGAGGAUGAGGAGGA
This 20-nucleotide microRNA is filed under the name Hypericum perforatum. RNAcentral's name for it is "Hyp-miR414". Lineage: Eukaryota; Viridiplantae; Streptophyta; Magnoliopsida; Malpighiales; Hypericaceae. The record is from RNAcentral.